UAACUCUACUAAGAGUGUUUUAUUCAAGCUUAUGGUUAAUCAUUGUUGAUUGCCAUAAAAAUUGUACUCUGUACAUCUUGCAUGUAUAAGUCAGGUAUGAAAGGCUGAUCACCUUCAUUACUAGUUGGUUCAGAAAUGUUUGUUCAUGUUUAAAACUUGUUCAGUCAAAAGUUUGUUCAUACUAGUUCUCAAUUAUAUUGAUGAAUUAUAGCCAGCUCUUUAUUCUGACUCUUUCAAUCAUGAUAUAUCCUUAAAUUGUAUUUAAACUUGCUGGGCAACUUUUAUGCUCACCCUUGCUAUAUCAUGAUAAAACAUUGCAGAUAAGGCGAAUGCGUUCGGAUACAGAAAAAGGUUAAUGCCAAGUUCAACUUGGGAUAAAAUGUGCGGCUAGUUUGUAAUAGUAUAGUUUGAUAAUUGUGUUAUGUGUUAGAAAGUUUAUGAAUUGUGUUUAAGUUAAGGUUACUCGAUUUUGGGGAAUAGUGUAUAAAGUUUAAUGUAUAAAUAAUUUAUGUUUAUAUCUUCCUCAAUUAGUAAUAGAAAUAGUGUACCGAAUCCGAGGUGAUUUGGGACCUGGAUUCGAGGAUGCUACAGUUGGUAUCAAAGCUGUUGGUUAUGACGCUUAGGUAGUAAUACCUGAGACCAAUAACCGCAGUGAUUAGGAUUAAGUACUAACUCAAAUAGAGUUAGUUGGUCGGUAAGAUUCAAAGAUGAAUCUCGGCGAGUGUAAAGACACAGAGUUCCCUAACUCUGGUAAUAGUGGUGAACAGAAGUGGUGAACAGUAGUGCAGUGAUAGGAGAUCGUAAAACAAAAUGAUCAAGGCAUAGAAAUAAAUCGUAAUAUAUACGAUGAGAUCACCCCGUGAUCUGAUAAGGUUAUGACAGCCAGAAAGAAUCAAUUUGAUGAUUGAAAAGUUUAUAGCAUGACGCUGUGUGUAAGUUGUACUAUGAAAUUGUACUAUGAAAACUCAUGAAAGAGUUGUGGAUUAUGGAUACGAAUUAAAUGAAAUUCGUAUGGAAAAAGGGGGUUAAGAUUAGGUGGGGAUUUCAAUUGAGGACUCAUGUCGGCAGCUGAGUUGUAUGAUUCCUUGUAUGGGUGGGGAAUUUGUACUUAGUUUUAGAGUCACUUAGCUUCCUGGUCGAUGUAGUGGUUAGGUUGACCAAUUCUUUGUAUGGGCGGGAAAUUGUUCACUUAGCUUCCUAUAUUGAUUAGUGGCCGAGUUUGGUUUGACAAUCACUUAGUUUCUGGCAUUGAUAAUCAUUGAAAUGUUUGUGUCGCGCUAUUGCUAUAUGCAGGUUAAGAGCGUGAUUCCUUUCUCAUGUGUAUAACAAAUAGAUAGGUCAUAGGUAGAGAAUAUAGGAUUAAGUACGAGUUCUUAAAACUCAUACUUAUGUGAAAUACUUGAUUCAUAGUUAUAUGAAACGUUUAUGAACCCCUCAGUGAACGGACGCCAAACGUCAGACUAGGAUAAGUUCUUAAACUCAUAUGAUUGUGGAAAUUUAUGGACUCAUAAGUGUGGUUUUAUGAACUGGAUAUAGUUAUGUGUGAAUGGAGUGUUAAGGAUUAUAGGAACAGAUAGAUUGUUAAGCAAAUGAUCAUUAGUGGAGACUUAGGUUUUCCUAAACUCCUAGCUAUGCUAAACUUCAAAAUUUUGACAUCAAGCUAAAUACGCACUAUGUGCCUUUUAAAAAAAAUGUAGACUCGUAACCAUUUUUGAAACGGUUUAAAAUACAGUCUAUGCUACUUAUUUCAGCUAGACUAAAAUGAUUUGAAAUAUCAAAAUAUAUUUUAAUUAUCGCUCAUGUACCAUGUAACCUGGUGCAGAGAUGAUAAAAAUGUGAUGGAGUUGUAAAUACAGGAAUACUUAGAGUGAAUUUGACAUAAAGUCGUUGUUCCUCUAAAUUAAUGAUGUGUUAUGACAAAGUCAUACAAUGACGGCAUCCUCAAACGGACUGUUAAUACAGUACGGCAUCAUGGCGUCAUUCUCGAAAAUAUUUUUAAAAAUUUUAAUUUGCCAACGGGGUUUGGCUACACCUAAAUUAUUCGAUUGAAUUGAAUUAUCAAUAUGAGUCUAUGCUAUUUGAUUCAGCUAGACUAAUGUUAUGAAAACUCUUAGUGUUCAUUGAAAAAAAUUUCUCGAACCAAAUUGUUUUGGUACGGAAUCCUAUGAUAAGACUGAGGUGAACGAUAAUGUUUGGAUAAAUAAUCCAAUCUAGUAGCGUAAAUAUUCGCUAGAAAUGAUUAAUACGUUAUGCAUGAUGUAAGAGUACGAUAGGCUAAUCACCUAAAGUACUAGUAAUGGUAGUUUACCUUCUUUGUGAUUGUAAACAUACCAAGUAAUGUUUUGUUUUGCGGUAUGAAUACCGUUAAAACUAAGUGUUCAUGGUCUAUAUGACCCCUCAGCACAAUUUGAAAACUUUUGCUCUUGUGAGUGGUGUAUUGGGUAGCAUGUGAUAUGUGUGAAUGGUAUAAGGUGCACGGUGUAAGGUGUAAGGUGUAAGGUGAAUUUCGGGGAAGAAAUUCUUAUAAGGAGGGGUGACUGUGACAACCCGAGAAUUUAGACUAUUUAUUCAAAAUCUUAACUGAUUGAUUUAAGGUCAAAUAUUAGACCUAGACAGAAAAUAAGUUUAUGCGUUUGAUGUUAUUGGGAUGGAAUUUUGAGGAUUUCAAAAUUCUGUGAAGGAUUUAGGUGAAUUAUCCAGGAUUAAGGAUUUAUGUGAAUAUGUUUUAUGUUUUUGAUUAUGUAUGUGUUCAGAAUGUGGUUGGGGGUUAAGGGUUGACCAAAUUAAUUAUAUAUGUGUCAAACCCUAAUCGUAUAUUAAGAACAUCAGCGUUCAGUUAGAAAACCCUAACGUCUAAUAAGAAACCCUAAAAAUCAGUUCUGGAAACCCUAGUCUCAGUUCCGGGAGUCCGAAACCCUAAUUCGGUAUAUAAAACCCUAGAUUGGGAAUGCAAUGCUAUGUAUAAUGUUUAACGUUAUUAAUUAUAAAUUAAUUAGGGAAAACCCUAAUGAAUUACCUGAAACCUUAAAUUGCUUAUUAGAAAACCCUGAUACUUGAUCUGAAAAUCCUAAUUUCAGAUUUCGGUAAUUUGAAACCCUAAUCUGGGAACUUAACGGAGAAUUUUAAUGCUUUAGUGCUAUUAUUAUAAUAUUAAUUAGGGUAACGCUUAAUUAAUUAGCAAACCCUAAUUUCAAAUUAUCGAACUUUAAAUUGUUCCGUCAGGAACCCUAAUGUACAGUUGUGGAUUAAAUUGCCAAAUUAGCAAUAUUAAUUAGGAAUUAUAAAUCCUAAUUUUCAAGUUAUUAGAAACCCUAAUCUGAUUAGGAAAUCUAGUUUCUAAAUUUAAAAUAUUAUUUUCUAUUCAAAACCCUAAUUUAUGGGUUAUAAAUUAUAAUGUACAAAUUUGACCCUAAGUGCUAAAUUAGUAAUUUUAAUUAGGAUAAAUUAGUCCUAAUUAGCAAAGAUUGAUUUAUGAUUAGGAAAUUAAGAUAUAAUUAGGAAGCUCUAAUCAUAAUUCAAAAAUCAUGAUUUUCUAUUUUAAAAUCUAAUUAGAAAAUCUUAGAAAUCCAAGUUGCUAAAUCUGUAAGGGUUAAACCCUAAACCCUAAAGGGUUAAACCCUAAACCCUAACAAACCCUAAACCCUAAGGGUUUGUAGCAAAUACCAAUUUUAGAAUUAAAAUAGCAUGGAAAUGACCAAAAUGCCCUUAUGCCACAUUUUAUAUUAGGUUGCUUGCAAAUCUUGUUAAAUCCUUGGUUGUUCAACAGCUACAACCACUCCUUGUGAUAGCAAAUCAGCUAACAACAACUCCCAUCAGCCACAUUCAUUGAAUUCCAUAAAUAUAUAAGACUAAAAGAGAGAGAAAAGUUCAUUCUUUAUUUUCAUUUUGUCCAAGUCACUUCUCUCUCUAGAAAUUCGGGAGUUAGUAAGAUAAAGAGUGAUGAGAUGAAGCAUGAUCAGUUCAUAGAAAGCCAAGAACAGAAAUCAAAAGGCAGAAAUCAAGAUCAAAGCAUAAAAGGUAUAAAAAUCCUAACCUUGCAAAUCUAUGAUUCUGAUGUUUAAUGUUGUUGUUUGUUGGUUAAACAUGUGUAAUAGGGUGUCAAAUGAUGAUCUGGGUUGUCAAAACACAAACCCAUAACAUCAAAUUACUCGAAUCUAGCAUUUUCAAAAAUCUGGAAAAAGGUUGAAAAGUGGUGUGACAGCCUAAUGUCAGGACCCAUAGAUCCGUGUGUGUUAGUUUUUUUGUGUAUUUUAUGUUAUAAACUUUCUCUAUGCCAUGAGGUCUUUAAUCUCCAACUUGAAUCAGGUCCAGAUCUUGUGUAGAUCGCAAGUUAUGAACGGUCAAAGACAGUUGACCGAUCACGAUUUCUGGAAUUCUGGGCAAACCCAGAAACCCAGAUCGCCUGACAACGUUUUCUGUGCUCUUGAUCUUGUUGUGGUUUAAGUGUUGGGCGAAGUGGUUGUUUUUAUGUUGUUUUCUGUUAUAUGGACUACAUAAAUAAGCUUUUAGAUCACUUAGAUCAUAACCAGGAUGAAAGUUAUAAUAGGUCAAACAUGCGUUGACCACCAGCUUUGAAGAAAUUCUGGGAAACCCAGAAUUCGGCCAAGAGCAGUUUUGUGGCUUAGUUUGACCGGCUCAAAUUUUACAUGUGUGAUGUUUUUAAGUUAAUAUUAUGUGAUAUAAUGGUACCUUGACAUCCGGACUACAAAAUAGAACCCCUAGAUCACAUAAAUCGAACAUAGAAUGAAAGUUAUAAGGACCCAAAGUAGGUACCUUUGAUUCUCUUAAACCCAGAAAGUUGAAGAACAGGUCUGACAAGUAGUUUGAGAGCUUAGAUCUCUCAGCUGUGUUGUUAUUUGACCAUGAAACUUGAUUGCAGUUGUAGAAUUACAUGAGUACUACAAUCUAAAAGUUUUAACCAACUCAUAAAGCAACAAGAACACUGUUUUAAUUGUGGUCAAACCAGCCCCUCGCAUGCUGCCUUGUCAGUGUUCUUGAGGCUCAAGAACACCUAAGGCGACGGUUGUCUGUCGCUAAAGGCUUUAGCGACGGUUUUAAUUAUUUUUAUUUUCUAGAAAUUCCAAAAAUGAAUUAAAAAUUAGAAAAAUUAGAUUUUAAUUAUUAAAAAUACAUAAUAAAUUCUAAAAAAUUAUUUUAAAGUCCGAAAAAUAGUUUUUAAUUAUUUUAAGUGUAUUUCAAAAAUAUUUAAUAUUUUAGGAAUAUAAAUGGUAUUUAUUUAUUUAAUUACAAUAUUAUAUAAAUUAUUUAAAAAUAGUUUUAAUUCAUAAAAAAUCAUGAAAAAUUAUAUUAUCGUGUUUGAAAAUAUUUGAAGUUAUUUUUAAUGAGUUUUAAUAUUUUGUGAUGAAAUUCAUUAAUUAAUCAAUAUUAAUGGUAAUUAGUUUUUUUAAUAAUUAUAUUAAAUAAAUUAAGGAAAAAUGGAAUUAAUGAUUUAAAAAUCAUAUAAAAAUGAUUUAAAUUAUAAAAUAUAACUUUUGAUAUUUUGGCAUGAAAAUAUUAAUAUUUUAAUAUUAAUAUCAAUUAUCGGAUAAUGGAUUUAAGUAUUUAAAAAUCAUAUAAAAUGAUUUUAAGGUAUUAAAAAUACUUUGAUGUAUUAUAAUCAUAUUAUAAUAUUAUGUAAUGAUUUUCAUUAAUAUUUUAUAUUAAAUGAAUAUUAAUGAUUAAGAAAUUAUGUGGUAUUUAAUUCAUUUAAAUACGGUUUUCAUGAUUGAAAAAUGGUGAUAAAUGGUAAUAAUUAUCCGAAAAUUAUUACGAGCCUAGGAAAAAUGUUUUGACUGAUAAGAAAUUAUCUGUGAUAAUUGUUAAGUGCUAAGGAAGAGUUUAAUUGAACUUAAACUCGAUAUUCGUCCGACUAGACCGUCGGGAUGAUAGGAUUGUGUCUGUUUCAACUCAGACUUAAACAAUUUGACUUGAUGAUAUGUCUUAUGUGCUGUAUAGACGUAUAGGGUUAUGUGUUAUGUGUUUAGGUUAUUCUAUGUGUAUAAAUAUAACAGAAUUAUACUGUGAUGAUAUUAUUCUAAUAUUGGAGAUCUAUAUUACUAAUAUUAGGUCUUCGGGUAAUGCGAUAUAAAUUGUGUAGCGGUAAUCAACGGUUCAGGCAAGUUUGUAUUCACUUAACUCUACUAAGAGUGUUUUAUUCAAGCUUAUGGUUAAUCAUUGUUGAUUUCCAUGAAAAUUGUACUCUGUACAUCUUGCAUGUAUAAGUCAGGUAUGAAAGGCUGAUCACCUUCAUUACCAGUUGGUUCAGAAAUGUUUGUUCAUGUUUAAAACUUGUUCAGUCAAAAGUUUGUUCAUGCUAAUUCUCAAUUAUAUUGAUGAAUUAUAGCCAGCUCUUUAUU
RNAcentral lists this long non-coding RNA (6356 nucleotides) under Panax ginseng (ginseng). RNAcentral's name for it is "long non-coding RNA (PGIN_LNC006515)". The record is from RNAcentral. Lineage: Eukaryota; Viridiplantae; Streptophyta; Magnoliopsida; Apiales; Araliaceae.